Molecule: ribosomal RNA, 253 nt
Filed under: uncultured bacterium
Lineage: Bacteria
Description: partial 16S ribosomal RNA
Rfam family: Bacterial small subunit ribosomal RNA
Source: RNAcentral
UACGGAGGGGGCGAGCGUUAUUCGGAAUUAUUGGGCGUAAAGGGCGCGUAGGCGGCUUGAUGUGUCAAAGGUGAAAUCCCUCGGCUCAACUGAGGAACUGCCUUUGAAACUGUCUGGCUUGAGGCCAGGAGAGGGUAGCGGAAUUCCCAGUGUAGCGGUGAAAUGCGUAGAUACUGGGAGGAACACCGGUGGCGAAGGCGGCUACCUGGACCGGUUCUGACGCUGAUGCGCGAAAGCGUGGGUAGCAAACAGG